GCCCUUAGAGUUUGAUCCUGGCUCAGAACGAACGCUGGCGGCAUGCCUAACACAUGCAAGUCGAACGAGACCUUCGGGUCUAGUGGCGCACGGGUGCGUAACGCGUGGGAAUCUGCCCUUGGGUUCGGAAUAACAGUUAGAAAUGACUGCUAAUACCGGAUGAUGACUUCGGUCCAAAGAUUUAUCGCCCAAGGAUGAGCCCGCGUAGGAUUAGCUAGUUGGUGGGGUAAAGGCCUACCAAGGCGACGAUCCAUAGCUGGUCUGAGAGGAUGAUCAGCCACAUUGGGACUGAGACACGGCCCAAACUCCUACGGGAGGCAGCAGUGGGGAAUAUUGGACAAUGGGCGCAAGCCUGAUCCAGCCAUGCCGCGUGAGUGAUGAAGGCCUUAGGGUUGUAAAGCUCUUUCACCGGAGAAGAUAAUGACGGUAUCCGGAGAAGAAGCCCCGGCUAACUUCGUGCCAGCAGCCGCGGUAAUACGAAGGGGGCUAGCGUUGUUCGGAAUUACUGGGCGUAAAGCGCACGUAGGCGGAUAUUUAAGUCAGGGGUGAAAUCCCAGAGCUCAACUCUGGAACUGCCUUUGAUACUGGGUAUCUUGAGUAUGGAAGAGGUAAGUGGAAUUCCGAGUGUAGAGGUGAAAUUCGUAGAUAUUCGGAGGAACACCAGUGGCGAAGGCGGCUUACUGGUCCAUUACUGACGCUGAGGUGCGAAAGCGUGGGGAG
Molecule: ribosomal RNA, 720 nt
Filed under: uncultured bacterium
Lineage: Bacteria
Description: bacterial SSU rRNA
Rfam family: Bacterial small subunit ribosomal RNA
Source: RNAcentral